Grus americana (Whooping crane) is the source of this 539-nucleotide long non-coding RNA. RefSeq lists it as uncharacterized. The transcript is spliced from 4 exons. NCBI's taxonomy places the organism in Eukaryota, Metazoa, Chordata, Aves, Gruiformes, Gruidae. The record is from RefSeq and is a predicted model, not a curated record.
ACGGGUAGAGCGGAAGGCUCCGUGGCCAGGGAAGAGCGGCACGGACGCGUUCCUGCUCGCUCCGUUGCACCGGAAUUUCGACGGCUGGGUUCGGCCGCUAAAUUGAUGGCGCUACCGGAAGAAAUUUCAGAAAAAAAGGGUGGCUUUUUCGUCGAUCUCUUGGUGAGAGUAUCAAAUCAGGCGGCGGUAAAUACGUAGAAGCAGCUAGGCGUACUACGGCGUGUACCGGACAGCGUUGGCGUGCCGCUCUGCUAGCAGCGGAGAGCCAGAUGAGGAUGCCCGUGAUAUGAGAAAAGCUCUGUCCAGAGAUAUGGAGACGAAAUCAGUUGUACCUCACCCUGUGACACCGGAAGACAUUGAGUAACUCGUCCUGCAGCUGGCUCCUCGGUUUUGGCGGCAGCCUGCACAUAGCAGCCCAGCUCUCCAGCAGCCUGACGGACCGACCGUGUGUCUGUUCCACGCCGGACUGGCGAGCGUGGCUCCGGGUAGGACAGCCGAGGUGCCCCAGGGCCGGGCCCCGAGCCCCGGUGCGGAGUCUC